GGUCUACGGACCUGAAGUGAGUAAUCCCAAGCUUCCAGGAAAAGCCUCUAAGCUUCAGUUCACAACUGACCGUACCGCAAACCGACACAGGUGGGUAGGUAGAGAAUACCAAGGCGCUUGAGAGAACUCGGGUUAAGGAACUCGGCAAAUUGACACCGUAACUUCGGGAGAAGGUGUGCCCCGGUAGCGUGUAGGACUUCGCGUCCGAAGCGUGAUGGGGUCGCAGAGAAUAGGUGGCUGCGACUGUUUAAUAAAAACACAGCUCUGUGCCAACACGAAAGUGGACGUAUACGGAGUGACGCCUGCCCGGUGCCGGAAGGUUAAGUGAUGGGGUGCAAGCUCUUGAUCGAAGCCCCGGUAAACGGCGGCCGUAACUAUAACGGUCCUAAGGUAGCGAAAUUCCUUGUCGGGUAAGUUCCGACCCGCACGAAUGGCGUAACGAUGGCCACACUGUCUCAACCCGAGACUCAGCGAAGUUGAAAUGUUUGUGAAGAUGCAAUCUCCCCGCUGCUAGACGGAAAGACCCCGUGAACCUUUACUGUAGCUUUGCAUUGGACUUUGAACAGGCUUGUGUAGGAUAGGUGGGAGGCUUUGAAGCUGAGACGCUAGUUUCAGUGGAGCCGUCCUUGAAAUACCACCCUGGUGUGUUUGAGGUUCUAACCUGGGUCCAUCAUCUGGAUCGGGGACCGUGCAUGGUAGGCAGUUUGACUGGGGCGGUCUCCUCCCAAAGUGUAACGGAGGAGUUCGAAGGUUACCUAGGUACGGUCGGACAUCGUACUGAUAGUGCAAUGGCAAAAGGUAGCUUGACUGCGAGACCGACAAGUCGAGCAGGUGCGAAAGCAGGACAUAGUGAUCCGGUGGUUCUGAAUGGAAGGGCCAUCGCUCAACGGAUAAAAGGUACUCCGGGGAUAACAGGCUGAUUCCGCCCAAGAGUUCAUAUCGACGGCGGAGUUUGGCACCUCGAUGUCGGCUCAUCACAUCCUGGGGCUGUAGCCGGUCCCAAGGGUAUGGCUGUUCGCCAUUUAAAGUGGUACGUGAGCUGGGUUUAAAACGUCGUGAGACAGUUUGGUCCCUAUCUGCAGUGGGCGUUGGAAGUUUGAGGGGGGCUGCUCCUAGUACGAGAGGACCGGAGUGGACGCAUCUCUGGUGUACCGGUUGUGACGCCAGUCGCAUCGCCGGGUAGCUAUAUGCGGAAGAGAUAAACGCUGAAAGCAUCUAAGCGUGAAACUCGCCUCAAGAUGAGACUUCCCUGGAGACUUGAUCUCCCUGAAGGGCCGUGGAAGACCACCACGUUGAUAGGUCGGGUGUGGAAGCGCAGUAAUGCGUUAAGCUAACCGAUACUAAUUACCCGUGAGGCUUGAUCCU
Molecule: ribosomal RNA, 1365 nt
Filed under: Laribacter hongkongensis
Lineage: Bacteria; Pseudomonadati; Pseudomonadota; Betaproteobacteria; Neisseriales; Aquaspirillaceae
Description: partial 23S ribosomal RNA
Rfam family: Bacterial large subunit ribosomal RNA
Source: RNAcentral